AAGGAUUUGGUUUUGUAAGAUACAGCACCCAUGAUGAGGCAGCUUUGGCAAUUCAAAUGGGAAAUGCCCAAUCAAUUUUGUGUGGGAGACAGAUUAAGUGUUCUUGGGGUAACAAACCAACACCACCUGGAACAGCCUCAAAUCCUCUUCCACCACCAGCUGCAGCGCCAUUAGGCCUUACUGCCACUGAUCUUUUGACUUAUGAACGGCAGCUAGCUAUGAGUAAGAUGGCUGGUGUUCAUGCCCUCAUGCAA
Molecule: unclassified non-coding RNA, 254 nt
Filed under: Hevea brasiliensis (rubber tree)
Lineage: Eukaryota; Viridiplantae; Streptophyta; Magnoliopsida; Malpighiales; Euphorbiaceae
Source: RNAcentral